Molecule: ribosomal RNA, 253 nt
Filed under: uncultured bacterium
Lineage: Bacteria
Description: partial 16S ribosomal RNA
Rfam family: Bacterial small subunit ribosomal RNA
Source: RNAcentral
UACGGAGGGUGCAAGCGUUGUCCGGAUUUAUUGGGUUUAAAGGGUCCGUAGGCGGACUCGUAAGUCAGUGGUGAAAUCUCAUAGCUUAACUAUGAAACUGCCAUUGAUACUGCGGGUCUUGAGUAAGGUAGAGGUAGCUGGAAUAAGUAGUGUAGCGGUGAAAUGCAUAGAUAUUACUUAGAACACCAAUUGCGAAGGCAGGUUACCAUGUCUUAACUGACGCUGAUGGACGAAAGCGUGGGGAGCGAACAGG